CCUACGGGGGGCUGCAGUGGGGAAUUUUGGACAAUGGGCGCAAGCCUGAUCCAGCCAUGCCGCGUGCGGGAAGAAGGCCUUCGGGUUGUAAACCGCUUUUGUCAGGGAAGAAAUCCUCUGGGCUAAUACCUCGGGGGGAUGACGGUACCUGAAGAAUAAGCACCGGCUAACUACGUGCCAGCAGCCGCGGUAAUACGUAGGGUGCGAGCGUUAAUCGGAAUUACUGGAGGCGAAGUUGGAAGACGCGGUUGAAAUCCCCGGGCUCAACCUGGGAACUGCCUUUGUGACUGCAAGGCUUGAGUGCGGCAGAGGGGGAUGGAAUUCCGCGUGUAGCAGUGAAAUGCGUAGAUAUGCGGAGGAACACCGAUGGCGAAGGCAAUCCCCUGGGCCUGCACUGACGCUCAUGCACGAAAGCGUGGGGAGCAAACAGGAUUAGAUACCCUGGUAGUC
This 450-nucleotide ribosomal RNA is filed under the name uncultured bacterium. RNAcentral's name for it is "partial 16S ribosomal RNA". It matches the Rfam family "Bacterial small subunit ribosomal RNA", at positions 338 to 795 of the family's 1533-position model. The record is from RNAcentral.